Molecule: unclassified non-coding RNA, 331 nt
Filed under: soil metagenome
Description: partial contains 5.8S ribosomal RNA, internal transcribed spacer 2, and large subunit ribosomal RNA
Rfam family: 5.8S ribosomal RNA (bases 1-120)
Source: RNAcentral
GAUGAAGAACGUAGCGAAAUGCGAUAAGUAAUGUGAAUUGCAGAAUUCAGUGAAUCAUCGAAUCUUUGAACGCACAUCGCGCCCCCUGGUAUUCCGGGGGGCAUGCCUGUUCGAGCGUCAUUUCACCACUCAAGCCUCGCUUGGUAUUGGGCAACGCGGUCCGCCGCGUGCCUCAAAUCGACCGGCUGGGUCUUCUGUCCCCUAAGCGUUGUGGAAACUAUUCGCUAAAGGGUGUUCGGGAGGCUACGCCGUAAAACAACCCCAUUUCUAAGGUUGACCUCGGAUCAGGUAGGGAUACCCGCUGAACUUAAGCAUAUCAAUAAGCGGAGGA